GUGGAUUAGGUACCCUAGUAGUCCACGCCCUAAACGGUGGGCACUAGGUGUAGGGCUCGUAAGGGUUCUGUGCCGAAGGGAAACCAUUAAGUGCCCCGCCUGGGGAGUACGGCCGCAAGGUUGAAACUCAAAGGAAUUGACGGGGGCCCGCACAAGCGGUGGAGCAUGUGGUUUAAUUCGACGCAACGCGAAGAACCGUACCUGGGCUUGACAUGUUAGUGGUAGGAAACUGAAAGGGGACCGACCUGUAGCAAUACAGGAGCUAAUACAGGUGCUGCAUGGCCGUCGCCAGCU
Molecule: ribosomal RNA, 294 nt
Filed under: uncultured bacterium
Lineage: Bacteria
Description: partial 16S ribosomal RNA
Rfam family: Bacterial small subunit ribosomal RNA
Source: RNAcentral